CAGGUAUCAUUUUGUUUUUGAAUAUUUUCAAUCUGUGGUUGGUUGAAUUCGUAGGUGCUGAAGCCAUGGAUGCUGAGGGUUGACUAUGUACUGCUCUGUUCUUUCAGUGCUCUUUGCUUUCCACCUGCCUGAAGGCCUGCCUUGCUCUCAUAUCUCUGCCAUGGCCCGUCAGUGUCCCACCAGCUCUUCAGCUCAGCUCAGCCCAAAGUCUGAUGUCCAUUCUUCUUUUGAAUUUUUUUUUAUUUGUAAAUACAAGUCCCCAAGAGCACUUGGUGUGAAGAUGUCAUCCAACACUCGAAGACAAUCAGUCUCUUAGGAGAGGGGGAAUCUACAGAUGGCCUAUUAUCACG
RNAcentral lists this long non-coding RNA (350 nucleotides) under Fukomys damarensis (Damara mole-rat). Its description in RNAcentral is "lncRNA (ENSFDAG00000026256.1)". Lineage: Eukaryota; Metazoa; Chordata; Mammalia; Rodentia; Bathyergidae. The record is from RNAcentral.